Long non-coding RNA from Astatotilapia calliptera (eastern happy), 613 nucleotides. NCBI's taxonomy places the organism in Eukaryota, Metazoa, Chordata, Actinopteri, Cichliformes, Cichlidae. The record is from Ensembl.
AAUUAACAACAUCUUCAGCAUCAUUCCUGCCACGCUGUCAAGACCUGAACCUAAAUCAGGUUGCUGGUCACAUGGUGGAUAUUACAGGGUUAAUAAUUUGUGAUGGUUAUGAUUAACGUCUUGUGAGAGAUCAGUUGUGUCCGAGUAAAUGAUGUUUGGGCUUUCCUGAUUUCGGGGACUUCUGCCUGGUUGUUGUUGCCAUGAACACGUCUCAGGUUAACUGCAGUUUAUUUACAGUGUGCGAUGAUCAGACCUUACACGGCGGUGACGAUCCCAGGCUCCCACACAGACACGCGUGGCUCUCCGACAGUUUCCGAAAACUAGAAGGCAAGAAUCUAGAUCAUGUCUUCAGAGUUCCAGAGGACAGCUAAAGAUCAACACUUGGAAUCAACUCCAGAUCUUCAAUCUGCUUGAUUUGUCUUAAAAUAAUGUGGAAGUGCAGAUGGCUGCCACUCCCUGAGCCUGGCUCUGCUGGAGGUUGUUUGCUGUUAAAAGGGUUUUUGAAGAACAGGACCAGGUCUGGCACCACUCACAGCUGAGUCUUCAACUUUUGGGACAUGAAAACAGCAACAAAUUGUCAAUAAAAACGAGUCUUUGCCAUCUUAUUACAGCA